CAGUAGCCGCGGUAAUACAGAGGGUGCAAGCGUUAAUCGGAAUUACUGGGCGUAAAGCGCGCGUAGGUGGUUUGUUAAGUUGGAUGUGAAAGCCCCGGGCUCAACCUGGGAACUGCAUCCAAAACUGGCAAGCUAGAGUACGGUAGAGGGUGGUGGAAUUUCCUGUGUAGCGGUGAAAUGCGUAGAUAUAGGAAGGAACACCAGUGGCGAAGGCGACCACCUGGACUGAUACUGACACUGAGGUGCGAAAGCGUGGGGAGCAAACAGGAUUAGAUACCCCAGUAGUUCCUGUCUCUUAUAC
This 301-nucleotide ribosomal RNA is filed under the name uncultured bacterium. RNAcentral describes it as "partial 16S ribosomal RNA". It matches the Rfam family "Bacterial small subunit ribosomal RNA", at positions 509 to 807 of the family's 1533-position model. The record is from RNAcentral.